This 68-nucleotide transfer RNA is filed under the name Goniada japonica. RNAcentral's name for it is "tRNA-Lys". The record is from RNAcentral. Lineage: Eukaryota; Metazoa; Annelida; Polychaeta; Phyllodocida; Goniadidae.
CAUUAGAGAGCUGGAUAGCAUUAGUCUUUUAAACUAAAGAAAAUAAAUAAAUUUAUUUCUAAUGAAUG